This 407-nucleotide ribosomal RNA is filed under the name uncultured bacterium. Its description in RNAcentral is "partial 16S ribosomal RNA". It matches the Rfam family "Bacterial small subunit ribosomal RNA", at positions 28 to 526 of the family's 1533-position model. The record is from RNAcentral.
GACGAACGCUGGCGGCGUGCCUAAUACAUGCAAGUAGGACGCAGUUGCGAACGGGUGAGUAACGCGUAGGUAACUACCUGUUAGAGGGGGAUAACUAUUGGAAACGAUAGCUAAUACCGCAUACUAGUAGCUUCCCCUUCGUUGUAUUAGCUAGUAGGUAGGGUAAUGGCCUAACUAGGCAACGAUACAUAGCCGACCUGUGAGGGGGAGCGGCCACACUGUGACUGAGACACAGCACAGACUCCGACGGGAGGCAGCAGUAGGGAAUCUGCGGCAAUGGGGGGAACCCUGACCGGGCAACGCCGCGUGAGUGAAGAAGGUGUGCGGAUCGUAAAGCUCUGUUGUUAAGGAAGCGGUAAGUAAAAAGAAAGGGACGGCUAACUACGUGCCAGCAGCCGCGGUAAGAC